CCCACCCCAUUACUCUCUUCCAAUCACCACUGUCCAGAUAGAUGGAAAUCGCCACUGAUAACAUGGAUGCUGUCCAGGAAGUAGGAGGGUCUGGGAGGGAGGGUCUGACGGAGAUUGGCAGGGAUGUGUCAGCUGACCGGAGUUCGCCACGAAUGGUUCGCGACAUCACUAAUAGUGAGAUGUCAGGAAAGGUUAAACACCAGAUUCAGUGAAUGAGGUUGAGACUGC
Molecule: non-coding RNA, 228 nt
Organism: Pelobates cultripes (western spadefoot toad)
Lineage: Eukaryota; Metazoa; Chordata; Amphibia; Anura; Pelobatidae
Source: the annotation of a GenBank genome assembly